Non-coding RNA from Myotis lucifugus (little brown bat), 71 nucleotides. Lineage: Eukaryota; Metazoa; Chordata; Mammalia; Chiroptera; Vespertilionidae. The record is from Rfam.
GGCAGCAUGGCUCAGUGGUUGAGUGUCAACCUAUGAAGUUGGAGGUCAGGGUUUGAUUCCCAGUCAGGCCA